CCCUUAUUUUCCUUUGAGGAGUCAACCACUUUUCCCCUCCUCCCAGUUCUGUGAUUGGGUGGGGCGGGCCUCACUCAUUGGCGCCAAGAAUUAGCACGUGACCCAGAUCUGGCCAAUCAAGAAAGCCUGGUCUCCGGGCUACAACUGUAGCCAGUAAUGAGCACAUGACCUAAGCCGAGCCAAUGAGACUUGAUCUUUGCAGAGAUUUUGAGGAGAGGAGCUCUUACCUGCUAGGCUUGCUAAACUGGCCGACUCUAGCCUCUAGAUGCUGGUGACCAUGUUUGUCACCUCAAGUGUGGAGCCUACCUGAGAAUGAAGCCCAAAGCAAGAGCCAAAAGAUGUGGAAAAAGAGUCUGGGUGACACUGCUGAAACUCCGGAUCUAGCGGUGCCUGAAGGCUAUACCUCUCCAGUCAGAAUACUACAGAAAUAGCCAUGUCAUUCCCAGGGAAUUCCAUCUGGAGGCACAUGACAUCCACUUAAUCAUUUGGUCAAGAGGCCAGAAGUCUGAGAUCAGGUGCCAGCGUGGGCGGGUUCCCGAGAGGGCCCGAUUCCUUCUUUGCAGAUGGCCGUCUUCUCUUUGUACCCUCAGAGGACAGAAACAGACAAAGGGCUACCUCUCUUCUUCCUCUGAGAAGGACACUGACCGCAUCACGGGGGUCCUACAGCCCUACUUCCAAAGACGGUCACGUUAGAGCUCCGUCGUAGGAAUUCUGGGAGAUCACAAACAUUCAGUCCAUUGCAACUACUGCAGUUGAAACAUGAUGAAUUUCCAACUCCAGCACUUUCUUCAUAUUCACCAGUCAGCACUCUGCUAUAAGCAAGGGCCUCUCUGUGUCUCAUCUAUUCAUCUGUGUAUUGUGUAUAUCCUAAUGGAGUUCUAUUAUCUUCAAUGAUUUAUAGUUCAUUACUGUCCUUGUAUUUCAGUGUUCAAAUCGUCCUAGAAUUGGCCAAUGACA
Molecule: long non-coding RNA, 957 nt
Organism: Suricata suricatta (meerkat)
Lineage: Eukaryota; Metazoa; Chordata; Mammalia; Carnivora; Herpestidae
Exons: 3
Source: RefSeq, a predicted model, not a curated record